UGGUGAACUAUGCCUGAGCGGG
Molecule: non-coding RNA, 22 nt
Filed under: Arabidopsis thaliana (thale cress)
Lineage: Eukaryota; Viridiplantae; Streptophyta; Magnoliopsida; Brassicales; Brassicaceae
Source: RNAcentral